CCUACGGGUGGCAGCAGUGAGGAAUAUUGGUCAAUGGACGAGAGUCUGAACCAGCAAAGUAGCGUGAAGGAUGAAUGCCCUAUGGGUUGUAAACUUCUUUUAUAUGGGAAUAAAACGUUCCACGUGUGGGAUUUUGUAUGUCCCAUAUGAAUAAGGAUCGGCUAACUCCGUGCCAGCAGCCGCGGUAAUACGGAGGAUCCGAGCGUUAUCCGGAUUUAUUGGGUGUAAAGGGAGCGUAGGUGGAUUGUUAAGUCAGUUGUGAAAGUUUGCGGCUCAACCGUAAAAUUGCAGUUGAAACUGGCAGUCUUGAGUACAGUAGAGGUGGGCGGAAUUCGUGGUGUAGCGGUGAAAUGCGUAGAUAUCACGAAGAACUCCGAUGGCGAAGGCAGUUCACUGGACUGCAACUGACACUGAGGCUCGAAAGUGUGGGUAUCAAACAGGAUUAGAUACCCUAGUAGUC
This 460-nucleotide ribosomal RNA is filed under the name uncultured bacterium. Its description in RNAcentral is "partial 16S ribosomal RNA". It matches the Rfam family "Bacterial small subunit ribosomal RNA", at positions 338 to 795 of the family's 1533-position model. The record is from RNAcentral.